Molecule: ribosomal RNA, 446 nt
Filed under: uncultured bacterium
Lineage: Bacteria
Description: SSU rRNA
Rfam family: Bacterial small subunit ribosomal RNA
Source: RNAcentral
AGAACGAACGCUGGCGGCAUGCCUAACACAUGCAAGUCGAACGCGUGUAGCGAUACACGAGUGGCGGACGGGUGAGUAACGCGUGGGAACCUGCCCUGGAGUGUGGGAUAACCGAGGGAAACUUCGGCUAAUACCGCAUACGACCUGAGGGUGAAAGAUUUAUCGCUCUAGGAGGGGCCCGCGUCGGAUUAGCUAGUUGGUGGGGUAAAGGCCUACCAAGGCAGUGAUCCGUAGCUGGUCUGAGAGGAUGAUCAGCCACACUGGGACUGAGACACGGCCCAGACUCCUACGGGAGGCAGCAGUGGGAAUAUUGGACAAUGGGGGCAACCCUGAUCCAGCAAUGCCGCGUGAGUGAUGAAGGCCUUAGGGUUGUAAAGCCCUUUCGCGCGCGACGAUGAUGACGGUAGCGCGAGAAGAGCCCCGGCUAACUUCGUGCCAGCAGCCGC